GGAAGUAACGUCAAGGGUGUCCCGCCUACCGGGACCGUCCGGCCGCGCUGUCAUCGACGGAGCAGACGCAUUUGUCUCUCGUCCGAAGGACGCUGCAGCCGGCGGGGAAGUUUUCUCUUGCAAACGUGACGGCCUGAAGGUCGGGAGCGUCGGCAGUUGACCGGCGGCGCGCACUCAGCGCGUCUGCCGGUUGUUAGCCGUCCCGUCAGUGAGCUCGUCUCCCCGCCGUGGUUCAACGCACGGCUCCCCCCUCAGGGGAGUCCGCCUCCGUCUCUCCUCCAGAAGCAUGCGUGCGAGACCGUCGCUGGUUCAGGCCGCCGACCUGUCGCACUCCGCAGCGAGUGGACGGUCGUCGAAGUUCGGCGCCGCAGGCGAUGGCGAGGCACGCCGGAGACCGGGGGCUCGCAGCGAGUAGGUCGGUCACCCACCCGACCCGUCUUGAAACACGGACCAAGGAGUCUAACAUGUGCGCGAGUCAAUGGGUCUUGAACAGGCCCAGGGGCGCAAUGAAAGCAAAGACCCGCCGAGCGCGGGUCGAGUCGGGAUCCCCGUCCCCAAGCGGUCGGGGCGCACCGACGACCCGUCCCGUCCGGCUCGCCGGUGGGGCGGAGUGUGAGCGCACACGUUGGGACCCGAAAGAUGGUGAACUAUGCCCGGACAGGACGAGGCCAGAGGAAACUUGGUGGANG
RNAcentral lists this ribosomal RNA (689 nucleotides) under Spartaeus wildtrackii. RNAcentral describes it as "eukaryotic LSU rRNA". The stretch from base 450 to 689 matches the Rfam family "Eukaryotic large subunit ribosomal RNA", at positions 665 to 873 of the family's 3401-position model. The record is from RNAcentral. Lineage: Eukaryota; Metazoa; Arthropoda; Arachnida; Araneae; Salticidae.